This is a non-coding RNA of Arachis ipaensis, 450 nucleotides long. Lineage: Eukaryota; Viridiplantae; Streptophyta; Magnoliopsida; Fabales; Fabaceae. The record is from RefSeq and is a predicted model, not a curated record.
CUUUAAUUCUAGUCAGCCGACGGAUUGAUUAAUGAAAUAAUUAAAUUUUAAAAUUCAACCUUAAAACCCUAAACCCACUUUAAUGGUGCUCAAUUGUCAAUUCAACUCAACUCUACGAAGCUUUGUUAGCUGCCCCCGCCUCAAAAUUUUCAUUCUCCCCUCUUCACACUUCAAAGCACCCUCACCCCGUUCUCCUCUCCCUCACGUCACAGCUUGUUUAAUGCAAGGUAUAGUUUGGUUCGUUUUCAUCUUGUAAUGAGAAAUAGCAUUCCCAUUGCGGUUCCGUUGAGAUUGAGACCAAACAUUAGCAACACUCUACCACAUCACAAGUUCCGGCCAACCUGCUUUCACAGCCAUGAAGGACAUACCAUUAGUUGCGUGCCCUACCCCGCUCCUCAAACAAAGCCCAUGGCGCUUCAUUUCGAGGUUCAACUCCCCAUUCUAUUUGAG